This 467-nucleotide ribosomal RNA is filed under the name Onchocerca suzukii. RNAcentral's name for it is "partial 12S ribosomal RNA". Lineage: Eukaryota; Metazoa; Nematoda; Chromadorea; Rhabditida; Onchocercidae. The record is from RNAcentral.
AGUUUUUAAUUUUAACUCUAUUUGUUGUGAUAUCUUAGCAUUAUUUUACUGUUUUUAUAUUUAUUUUUUGUAAAAUGUUUUAAUUUAUUUUGUUUUUUUUUUGAGAUAUCAAAAAUUUGGUUUUUGAACUGGAUUAGUACCCAGGUAAUCAAAGUUUAUUAAUUCGGGAGUAAAGUUUUGUUUAAACCGAAAAAAUAUUGACUGACCUUGGAUUUUUCUUUGGAACAUGUGUUUUUAUUGGAGAGCCCUCUUUUUUGGUAAAUUUUGUUGGCACAUGUAUGAUUGUUUAGUUUUUAUUUUAUAUUGUAAUGCUUUUGUUUUGGCUUUUAAAACAGAUAUAUAUUUGGCUUAUAAAUUUAUUUUUCAUGUGUUACUAUUAUAAAUUUUUUUUGGAUUAAUUUUUUAUUUUUUUUUGAAAUUGGAAAAGAAAGUAAUUUUUUCCUUGAUGUUAUAAUGAAUUUGAUAAA